GACGAACGCUGGCGGCGUGCUUAACACAUGCAAGUCGAGCGGUAAGGCCCUUUCGGGGGUACACGAGCGGCGAACGGGUGAGUAACACGUGGGUGACCUGCCCUUAGCUCUGGGAUAAGCCUGGGAAACUGGGUCUAACACCGGAUAUGACUCCAUGACGCAUGUUGUGGGGUGGAAAGCCUUGUGCGGCUAGGGAUGGGCCCGCGGCCUAUCAGCUUGUUGGUGGGGUGANGGCCUACCAAGGCGACGACGGGUAGCCGGCCUGAGAGGGCGACCGGCCACACUGGGACUGAGACACGGCCCAGACUCCUACGGGAGGCAGCAGUGGGGAAUCUUGCGCAAUGGGCGAAAGCCUGACGCAGCGACGCCGCGUGAGGGAUGACGGCCUGGUGUAAC
RNAcentral lists this ribosomal RNA (396 nucleotides) under uncultured bacterium. RNAcentral's name for it is "bacterial SSU rRNA". It matches the Rfam family "Bacterial small subunit ribosomal RNA", at positions 28 to 429 of the family's 1533-position model. The record is from RNAcentral.